This 959-nucleotide ribosomal RNA is filed under the name Limosilactobacillus reuteri. RNAcentral's name for it is "bacterial SSU rRNA". It matches the Rfam family "Bacterial small subunit ribosomal RNA", at positions 1 to 914 of the family's 1533-position model. Lineage: Bacteria; Bacillati; Bacillota; Bacilli; Lactobacillales; Lactobacillaceae. The record is from RNAcentral.
UUUAUAUGAGAGUUUGAUCCUGGCUCAGGAUGAACGCCGGCGGUGUGCCUAAUACAUGCAAGUCGUACGCACUGGCCCAACUGAUUGAUGGUGCUUGCACCUGAUUGACGAUGGAUCACCAGUGAGUGGCGGACGGGUGAGUAACACGUAGGUAACCUGCCCCGGAGCGGGGGAUAACAUUUGGAAACAGAUGCUAAUACCGCAUAACAACAAAAGCCACAUGGCUUUUGUUUGAAAGAUGGCUUUGGCUAUCACUCUGGGAUGGACCUGCGGUGCAUUAGCUAGUUGGUAAGGUAACGGCUUACCAAGGCGAUGAUGCAUAGCCGAGUUGAGAGACUGAUCGGCCACAAUGGAACUGAGACACGGUCCAUACUCCUACGGGAGGCAGCAGUAGGGAAUCUUCCACAAUGGGCGCAAGCCUGAUGGAGCAACACCGCGUGAGUGAAGAAGGGUUUCGGCUCGUAAAGCUCUGUUGUUGGAGAAGAACGUGCGUGAGAGUAACUGUUCACGCAGUGACGGUAUCCAACCAGAAAGUCACGGCUAACUACGUGCCAGCAGCCGCGGUAAUACGUAGGUGGCAAGCGUUAUCCGGAUUUAUUGGGCGUAAAGCGAGCGCAGGCGGUUGCUUAGGUCUGAUGUGAAAGCCUUCGGCUUAACCGAAGAAGUGCAUCGGAAACCGGGCGACUUGAGUGCAGAAGAGGACAGUGGAACUCCAUGUGUAGCGGUGGAAUGCGUAGAUAUAUGGAAGAACACCAGUGGCGAAGGCGGCUGUCUGGUCUGCAACUGACGCUGAGGCUCGAAAGCAUGGGUAGCGAACAGGAUUAGAUACCCUGGUAGUCCAUGCCGUAAACGAUGAGUGCUAGGUGUUGGAGGGUUUCCGCCCUUCAGUGCCGGAGCUAACGCAUUAAGCACUCCGCCUGGGGAGUACGACCGCAAGGUUGAAACUCAAAGGAAUUGAC